AGUUAAUGAACUUGAAAAGUAUAUGUUUUGAAAACAUAAAAUAGAAGUAAAACCCUCUAUUAGCUU
Molecule: transfer RNA, 66 nt
Filed under: Dermestidae sp. GENSP01
Lineage: Eukaryota; Metazoa; Arthropoda; Insecta; Coleoptera; Dermestidae
Description: tRNA-Ser
Rfam family: tRNA
About the family: Transfer RNA (tRNA) molecules are approximately 80 nucleotides in length. Their secondary structure includes four short double-helical elements and three loops (D, anti-codon, and T loops).
Source: RNAcentral